AUACAUAAAGUGGUCAGAGCUCUCUCUUUCUCAAUUAUACAUGAAAGGUUUGUCACAUCUCUUAGUGAGCUGUAUACAGUGCCUUUCUCUCUCUCUCUCUCUUUUUAUUUAAUUUUUUUUUUUUUGUUUAAAGCUCAGUUGGGAAAUCCUUUUACAAUGGCAAUGGUAGGACUGAAACAUGAGAUCAAAAUUCCGUAAGUUUUAUCGUCAAACACACUGUUCGUUUUGUACCCAUACUCGUUGCUUGUACUGCCUCUCUCUCUCUCUCUCACACAACUUCUGGUUAUGGAAUUGACAAAUGUGGGGUUUCUCUCUCUAGACUGCUAUGUAACUAGGGUUUGAUUUCUGUGUAUUUACCGUGAAGAUGGAAGUCAGACUAUUUUUUUACGGGGAGAACAGGAGUUUGGUAAAAAGAGUAGUCUGGAAAGGCAGGAGGAAGGAUGGAAAUAUUAUAAAGAAAAGAGGAAUAUGCAUUUAUGAUGGUGAAAAUCCAUUGGGAGCGAUGCAUGAUGAUGCACUCACUUGUCUGCGGCGACAUCACCUCAAACAAUCCCCAUCACAAGAACUCCCCUAACCCCCCUCUCUCUCUCUAGACUCUAGCGCACUCCCUUUCCUGUCUCUAGCUUUCUCUCUCUUCACUACCCUCGUAUAGUCUGUUCACCCACGAAAAACUUUUUUUCCCGUGCUGGUUGAAAAUUGGGAGCCCGACCCCGUUCGGCCGGAUGGGCCCUAAGAAAAGUAGGGCCUAAUGUGGUCGUUGGAAAUGUGGAGCCCGACCCAGACCGGUUCAGCUGGAUGGACCCAAAGUACAGACUGUGGCCAGAAGGCCUAACCAGAUCCGGCUAGUGUUGGCCCAAUUCGGCAUAGACAAACUUUUUCUUUUUCUUUUUUUGUAAUUUUUCUUAUUUAUUUUUGGGCAGACCUAGAGGGUCUUGACUGAUUGGACCUAUGGGCCAAGGGUUGAGCCAAG
RNAcentral lists this long non-coding RNA (970 nucleotides) under Amborella trichopoda. RNAcentral describes it as "long non-coding RNA (ATRI_LNC004650)". The record is from RNAcentral. Lineage: Eukaryota; Viridiplantae; Streptophyta; Magnoliopsida; Amborellales; Amborellaceae.